ACGAACGCUGGCGGCGUGCUUAACACAUGCAAGGCGAACGGAAAGGCCCUGCUUUUGUGGGGUGCUCGAGUGGCGAACGGGGGAGUAACACGGGAGUAACCGGCCCUUGACUUUGGGAUAACUUCAGGAAACUGGGGCUAAUACCGGAUAGGAGCUGCUGCGGCAUGGGGGGGGUUGGAAAGUUUCGGCGGUUGGGGAUGGACUCGCGGCUUAUCAGCUUGUUGGUGGGGUAGUGGCUUACCAAGGCUUUGACGGGUAGCCGGCCUGAGAGGGUGACCGGCCACAUUGGGCCUGAGAUACGGCCCAGCCUCCUACGGGAGGCAGAAGUGGGGAAUAUUGCACAAUGGGCGGAAGCCUGAUGCAGCAACGCCGCGUGCGGGAUGACGGCCUUCGGGUUGUAAACCGCUUUCGCCUGUGACGAAGCGUGAGUGACGGUAAUGGGUAAAGAAGCACCGGCUAACUACGUG
RNAcentral lists this ribosomal RNA (467 nucleotides) under uncultured bacterium. Its description in RNAcentral is "partial 16S ribosomal RNA". It matches the Rfam family "Bacterial small subunit ribosomal RNA", at positions 29 to 507 of the family's 1533-position model. The record is from RNAcentral.